This 602-nucleotide long non-coding RNA is filed under the name Ananas comosus (pineapple). RNAcentral's name for it is "long non-coding RNA (ACOM_LNC040369)". The record is from RNAcentral. Lineage: Eukaryota; Viridiplantae; Streptophyta; Magnoliopsida; Poales; Bromeliaceae.
AAAUAAUAUCUAGUGUAAAUUUCAAAUACCCCUUAUAGUUUCAUAUUUUUUCACUUUAGUAUCUUAUGGUUUAAAGUAUACCAAAUGAACCUCUGUGGUUUCGUACUUUCUCACUUUAGUAUCCUGUGAUUUAAAAGUGUAUCAAGUUACUAUCCUGUGGUUUCAUUUUUCUCUUUUUAUUAUCCAUUUCACUAAUUUUUUUCGUUAAAUCAGUGACAAAGUUAAAAUUAAAAGGUACUAAAGUGAACAUUCGAUAAACUUAGGUAGGGUAUUUGAAGUUUUUUGUAUAUAAUUUAACGAAAUAUUAACGGAGAAAAAAAUAAAUCAGUGACAAAGUUAAAACUAAAAGGUAUUAAAGUAAAUAUUCGAUAAACCUGGGUAGGGUAUAUGAAGUUUUCUGUAUAUAAUUUAACGAAAUAUUAAUAGAAGAGCCGACGAAAAGAAAAAAAAAAUGAAACCACAUGGUACUAAAUGUAUGCACCUUAAACCACACUGAACUAAAGUGAGAAAGGGCGAAACCACGGGGGCUAAAUUGAUACACUUUAAACUGCAGGGUACUAAAGUAAGAAAGUGUGAAACCACAAGGGAAUAUUUGAAGUUUA